GAGACGCUAGCGGCAGGCCUAAUACAUGCAAGUCGAGCGGCAAGUUGAGUAGUAAUACUUAACCUAGAGCGGCGCACGGGUGCGUAACGCGUAUGCAACCUACCUUUUACUGGGGGAUAGCCCGGAGAAAUCUGGAUUAAUACCCCAUGGUAUCUACGAAUCGAUUGGUUUGUAGCUUAAAGAUUUAUCGGUAAGAGAUGGGCAUGCGUCUGAUUAGCUAGUUGGCGGGGUAACGGCCCACCAAGGCGACGAUCAGUAGGGGUUCUGAGAGGAAGGUCCCCCACACUGGCACUGAGAUACGGGCCAGACUCCUACGGGAGGCAGCAGUAGGGAAUAUUGGGCAAUGGUCGCAAGACUGACCCAGCCAUGCCGCGUGCAGGAUGAAGGCCCUCUGGGUUGUAAACUGCUUUUAUCUGGGAAGAAAAAGUCCAUGCGUGGAAAAUUGCCGGUACCAGAUGAAUAAGCACCGGCUAACUCCGUGCCAGCAGCCGCGGUAAUACGGAGGGUGCAAGCGUUGUCCGGAUUUAUUGGGUUUAAAGGGUGCGUAGGCGGCUGAAUAAGUCAGCGGUGAAAGACUUCGGCUUAACCGGAGCAGUGCCGUUGAUACUGUUUAGCUUGAGUGUUGGAGGGGUACAUGGAAUUGAUGGUGUAGCGGUGAAAUGCAUAGAUACCAUCAGGAACACCGAUAGCGAAGGCAUUGUACUGGCCAACAACUGACGCUGAGGCACGAAAGUGUGGGGAUCGAACAGGAUUAGAUACCCUGGUAGUCCACACCGUAAACGAUGAUUACUCGCUGUUAUGCUGUAUAGUGUAGC
Molecule: ribosomal RNA, 815 nt
Filed under: uncultured Flexibacteraceae bacterium
Lineage: Bacteria; Pseudomonadati; Bacteroidota; Cytophagia; Cytophagales; Cytophagaceae
Description: bacterial SSU rRNA
Rfam family: Bacterial small subunit ribosomal RNA
Source: RNAcentral